GUGCUGGCGUGCAGUGCAUCACCGAGCACCGUCUGUUCCACGACUUCUGUCUGCGGAGGGAAAUGCUGGCGGUGAAUGCACGCCAGUACUGCCGCUACGACUAUCGGCUGCGGCUGUUGGAUCCGACAGACAACAGGUGUCUGAGGUUCACAGCCUACUCUGUAUUUGCCAGUUGGGUCUGGGGCUACCUCGGACCUAGAAAUAGGCGACAAAUUCCAGGCUGCGCUGUGCGAGCGAUUCGAAGAGAGCACCCGUCGCCUUCAUACCAAGGGUAUCUUUCUUAAGAAUGUAGAUUCCAGGCUGCUGUCUUCUCAGAACUGCCCAUGUGCUGGAAUGAAAAAAAAAUGUUAACUUGGUUAUAAUAAAAUAUAGUU
This is a long non-coding RNA of Ornithodoros turicata, 374 nucleotides long. RefSeq lists it as uncharacterized. NCBI's taxonomy places the organism in Eukaryota, Metazoa, Arthropoda, Arachnida, Ixodida, Argasidae. The transcript has 3 exons. The record is from RefSeq and is a predicted model, not a curated record.